Molecule: long non-coding RNA, 3030 nt
Filed under: Anas zonorhyncha (Eastern spot-billed duck)
Lineage: Eukaryota; Metazoa; Chordata; Aves; Anseriformes; Anatidae
Description: lncRNA (ENSAZOG00000006512.1)
Source: RNAcentral
GAAGACCCUGUCUGAAGAAAAUUAUUUGACAUCUUUCUCACAGAAAUGGCCCCCAGCUGGGUCCUGCUUGAUGCUAGCUGCCCCCGCUCCUGGGGACAAUUACUAAUUAACUGUUUUUGUUAACUCUUUUUUAUGUGAAAGGAUGUAAAAUGUGCACUUUGACGAAGUGAUCCAGGCCAAGAUGAUCCAGACCUUGCAGAUAUCAAAGGGAAGACUCAUUAAGGAACGAUUUAAUCAGAACAACCAUUUUGUAAGGUAAAACCCAACAUACUCCCCUGAAUGUGGAACUUGUUAAAAACAUUUGGCUGAAAAACAAAGAUAAGAGUAUCAUAAUGGGAACUGUCUGUAAAUUAACCCAGGGGGGUGCGGGGUCCUUUUUUUUCUUUUUGGGUGGGGGGCAUCCCCAUUCCCCACCCCAUGCUGACCGCAGCACUUCUGCGUCACGCAACCCUUGGGACCACAUCUCUCCUCAGGAUGGCAACCGGUGACAUCAGGCGAGCUUCCAGCUGCCAUUGGGGGACAAAGUUUCCAUGGUGCCCACAGGACGGGGCAAUGGGAGCAGGGCUGCUGCUGCUGGGGGUCCUGGUUUGAGCCCAGCAGCAUGGGCUGCAUGGGGCUGGGAUGUUCAGGGGCUCCUGCUUCCCCUCCUGACGGGCCUAAUUUCCCCCAGAGCCACAGCCCAAAUUGAUCCCCAUUGUGGUGGAGAUGACUGUCACCACCACGUCUGUCAUCGCUGCCCUGGCUGGAUUUGCUGUCUGGAAGAGCAAGCAGGGUGGGUGAGGCAGAGGGGUGCGGGAAGAAGGCAGGGUCUGGAGGGGCUGUAUGAGGAGCUGGGGCACCUUUGGGAGGCCCCCAUCCUGGCCGUGACAUGUGGCUGGUGCUGAUGCUACAACGUGGCAUCAGGUGAAUGACAGAGGCAGCGAUGUCCCCAGCCUCUGCCCAUCACUAGGGCAGUCUUGGGGCUCUUGGUUUUUCUUGGGGCUCCCAGCAUAGCGGUGCUGCGUUCUACUCAUGGUGCUGCUGCCCUUCCUGUGCCAGCUCCUGGGCUGGGGCUCACGGCCGCUUCUCUCUUGCAGUCAAUGACGGGGAAUCCAACAGCUCAAACACAGGUACAGAAUGAGGCUGGGAGUUAAGGCAGGAGCCCCAGGGAGGUUUUGGGGUCCCAACUUGUCAUGUCCCCCUGUGGUACCUGCAAUCAGGGUGUUGCUGUGCCCAACUGAUCCAUGGCUUCCCUGGGAAAACUCUCAGAGUAGUAGGUUUGGGACAGGGACAUGGCCCCAUAUGACACUGCCUCUUUUUGUUCCUGCACGGGGCAACCCCAGUGUCUAACCACUCUGCUUCAGCCCAUGAGGGACCAGAAGGCCCCCUGUGUACUCUGCACUGCAUCUGGAUGUGGCCCUGUUCCCUCAACCUCUCGCAUCUUCUAUCUACUACUGAAGAGCAGUGCGAAGCAUAAUUGAAUCUGAAUGCCUUCAAACAAAAUAAACAGCCCAAUGAUUUUCUGAUUUGCCACAAAGUGUGCCUGGUGUCUGAUCUGGAGUGGCAGGUGGGAGCGGGUGGGCAAGGUGCUCCUAUCCUGGCCUGGUGGGUCAGGGUUGCCCAGAGAAGCUGCAUGGGGAAGUUGGGGAGGCAUCGAUGGAGGCUGGGAGCUGCAUGCAGAAUCACAGAAUCACAGAAUCACAGAAUUUUCUAGGUUGGAAGAGACCUCAAGAUCAUCGAGUCCAACCUCUGACCUAAAACUAACAGUCCCCACUAAACCAUAUCCCUAAGCUCUACAUCUAAACGUCUUUUGAAGACUUCCAGGGAUGGUGACUCCACCACCUCCCUGGGCAGCCCGUUCCAAUGCCUCACAACCCUUUCAGUAAAGAAAUUCUUCCUAACAUCUAACCUAAAACUCCCCUGGCGUAACUUUAGCCCAUUCCCCCUCGUCCUGUCACCAGGCACAUGGGAGAACAGGCCAACCCCCACCUCGCUACAGCCUCCUUUAAUGUACUUAUACAGAGCAAUAAGGUCACCCCUGAGCCUCCUCUUCUCUAGGCUGAACAAGCCCAGCUCCUUCAGCCGCUCCUCGUAGGACUUGCUCUCCAGGCCCCUCACCAGCUUCGUCGCCCUUCUUUGGACCCGCUCAAGCACCUAAAGAUCUCAGAUGCAGAAAGAUCUCAGCACAGGGGUGGCUGUCACUAUUGUCUGUCAUCGCUGCCCUGGCUGGAUUUGCUGUCUGGAAGAGCAAGCAGAGUAAAGUGCCUGGGUGGUUGAAGAAGAGGGGUGCACAAGGAAGGUAGGGGCUGGAGGAGCUGUAUGAGGAGCUGGGGCACCUUUGGGAGGCUCCCAGCCUGGCUGUGACGUGUGGCUGGUGCUGAUGUCCCCAGCCUCUGCCUGGCACUGGGGUAAUCUUGGGGCUCUGUUUUUUUUUUUUUCUUUGGGCACCCAGCACAGUGGUGCCAUCCUCCACUUCAGGCACUGAUGAGGCUCCUCUGUCAGCUCCUGGGCUGGGGCUGAGGGCUGCUCCUCUCUCACUGGCAGAAACAGAGGAUCCAAAAAGUCAAUCACAGGUAUUCUGCAGGACCGGGGGUUCAGGCUGGCACCCUUGGGAGCUUGGGGGGAGAGGGGAGACUCAGCUUGCUGUGUUAAAAUAAUUGGCUGAAAAACAAAGAUAUUAUAAGGUGAACUAUCCUCAUUAUAAUAGGAAAAAAAUAAUUGGCUGGGAGACCCCAGCCCAACAAGAGACCGUUCCCCUUCCCCUUCCCCUCUGAGGAUAUACAGAAUGAUUUUGUCAAGUCAGCCAUACCCUAACUAGAAGUUACAGGAUUGUACUGGGUAACUCUAAUUCUAACUAAUUAGAAACUAGAGGAUUGUACUAACAUGUAAAGGUAGUGAUAAGAGACAAGUGAGGCAUGGAGAAACUUUAGGUCUGCCAGCAUAGUGGGAAACCUCCUGGCGCCCAGGACUUGUGGGAUUCUGAAAUAAACACUGUCUCAACCUAGUAUGUGGAUUGAUUGUCUCAUUGCACACUGGGCAACGCAUCCCAAC